RNAcentral lists this long non-coding RNA (572 nucleotides) under Phaseolus vulgaris (common bean). Its description in RNAcentral is "long non-coding RNA (PVUL_LNC001371)". Lineage: Eukaryota; Viridiplantae; Streptophyta; Magnoliopsida; Fabales; Fabaceae. The record is from RNAcentral.
UUUUAUCAAUAAUUCAUAUUUUCGAUUCAGUUGUAUCUUAAACCCAUGUUCAUAUACAGACAUGCACGUUAUUUCUACCCUCUUUUGAACUGGAUUUUUUUAACUAGUUGAGCUUUUGGAAAAGCUUGUUGUUUACCUUUUUCUGAACCCCUCCUUUGAAGUUGUAGCUAGUUUUUCUCUCAUCGUCUGUAUUUUGUUGCAACUUGAAAUUUUAUAUUUUCUAAAUUGUCGUGCAAUUAAAUAUGUUUCAGACUUUUUCUAGCAGUUGAUAUCCUAAAAUCUUUUGUGCACCUAAUUAGGUUAUAUGAAAUAUAAUUUUCUGUUGUGAUAUACUUGAUUAAAUGGAUGAAAUUUAAUGUAGCAUUUUGUAAAAGCAAAAGAAAUCACAUUAGAAGGAAAAAAAUGCAAAAUUGUUUGGAAUCUGCUGAACCCUUCAGAAUGUUGAUUAAGAUAAAUCUUUUUAUAUGUUGCAUCCUGCCAUUGAGCUUUUGAUUUUUGAUCGAGAGUAAGGGUUUCGUUUGGAGUUGUCUCAUAGCUGGAAAUAUUUUUAACCUGUUUGAUUCCUUUGGGCA